This 497-nucleotide ribosomal RNA is filed under the name uncultured bacterium. Its description in RNAcentral is "partial 16S ribosomal RNA". It matches the Rfam family "Bacterial small subunit ribosomal RNA", at positions 28 to 507 of the family's 1533-position model. The record is from RNAcentral.
GAUGAACGCUGGCGGCGUGCCUAAUACAUGCAAGUCGAGCGAACGGACGAGAAGCUUGCUUCUCUGAUGUUAGCGGCGGACGGGUGAGUAACACGUGGAUAACCUACCUAUAAGACUGGGAUAACUUCGGGAAACCGGAGCUAAUACCGGAUAAUAUUUUGAACCGCAUGGUUCAAAAGUGAAAGACGGUCUUUCUGUCACUUAUAGAUGGAUCCGCGCUGCAUUAGCUAGUUGGUAAGGUGACGGCUUACCAAGGCAACGAUGCAUAGCCGACCUGAGAGGGUGAUCGGCCACACUGGAACUGAGACACGGUCCAGACUCCUACGGGAGGCAGCAGUAGGGAAUCUUCCGCAAUGGGCGAAAGCCUGACGGAGCAACGCCGCGUGAGUGAUGAAGGUCUUCGGAUCGUAAAACUCUGUUAUUAGGGAAGAACAUAUGUGUAAGUAACUGUGCACAUCUUGACGGUACCUAAUCAGAAAGCCACGGCUAACUACGUG